UAACAGCUCCAUUUCAUUCUCAUCUCAAACAAGAGAGACGGAGAGAGAGAGAGAGAGAUCUGAAGAAGGAGAAGCUGCGUUAAUGGCGAAACCACUGGGACCAACAGGAGAGUUCUUUCGGCGGCGGGAUGAGUGGCGGAAGCACCCCAUGCUCACCAACCAGUGGCGCCACGCCACUCCCGGCCUCGGCAUCGCUCUCGUCGCUUUCGGCAUCUACCUCGUCGGCGAAACCGCCUACAAUAAGAUUUAUGCCGCCCCCAAAUCUCAUGCUCACUCCACAUCUUCUGCUUCUCAUUGAUCCAAUGGCGACUUCCCCUAAUUGUGUAAGAUGAGCUUCGCCUUGGUGCCAAAUAAUGGAGUGUGGUUAUGUUUCUGUCUUCUCCAAUUUCAUGUCUGUGUCAACGAUGUACCCAGACAUGUUUGUUGCCUUCAGUCUGCUGAAAUUUGUAAAAGAAUUUAAGAGUAGUGUUUUUUCCUGUGGAUCAUCUCUCUCUUUCUCUCUCUCUCUCUUUCUAUAUAUAUAACUCGAGAAUUAAACUCUUGUGAGAUCUUAUGUAAAGAGUAGGCACGACUGUGUAACAAGAGCAGAUCAUGGUUGGAUUUUCAGCAGACGAUGUAGCAGAUAAACUCAAUCACAGAGGGGGAACCCUCCGCACC
RNA transcript from Sesamum indicum (sesame), 657 nucleotides. It is a transcript of the gene named NADH dehydrogenase [ubiquinone] 1 beta subcomplex subunit 3-B pseudogene, with no coding region annotated. NCBI's taxonomy places the organism in Eukaryota, Viridiplantae, Streptophyta, Magnoliopsida, Lamiales, Pedaliaceae. The record is from RefSeq and is a predicted model, not a curated record.